Molecule: RNA transcript, 2310 nt
Organism: Homo sapiens (human)
Lineage: Eukaryota; Metazoa; Chordata; Mammalia; Primates; Hominidae
Gene: SDHAP2
Gene name: SDHA pseudogene 2
Exons: 15
Source: RefSeq, marked validated
GGUGCGCAGGCGCAGUCUGCGCAGGGACUGGCGGGACUGCGCGGCGGCGACUACAGACGUGUCGGGGGUCCGGGGCCUGUCGCGGUUGCCAAGCGCUCGGCGCUUGGCGCUGGCGCUGGCCAAGGCGUGGCCAACAGUGUUGCAAACAGGAACCCGAGGUGUUCACUUCACUGUUGAAGGAACGAGAGGGCAUCUGCUAAAGUUUCAGAUUCCAUUUCUGCUCAGUAUCCAGUAGUGGAUCAUGAAUUUGAUGCAGUGGUGGUAGGCGCUGGAGGGGCAGGCUUUGCGAGCUGCAUUUGGCCUUUCCGAGGCAGAGUUUGAUACAGCAUGUGUUACCAAGCUGUUUCCUACCAGGUCACACACUGUUGCAGCGCAGGUUGGAAUCAAUGCUGCUCUGGGGAACAUGGAGGAGGACAACUGGAGGUGGCAUUUCUAUGACACCGUGAAGGGCUCCGACUGGCUGGGGGACCAGGAUGCCAUCCACUACGUGACGGAGCAGGCCCCCACUGCCAUGGUCGAGGUAGAAAAUUAUGGCAUGCCGUUUAGCAGAACUGAAGAUGGGAAGAUUUAUCAGCGUGCAUUUGGCGGACACAGCCUCAAGUUUGGAAAGGGCAGGCAGGCCCAUCGGUGCUGCUGUGUGGCUGAUCGGACCGGCCACUCAAUAUUGCACACCUUAUAUGGGAGGUCUCUGCGAUAUGAUACCAGCUGUUUUGUGGAGUAUUUUGCCUUGGAUCUCCUGAUGGAGAAUGGGGAGUGCCGUGGUGUCUUCGCACUGUGCAUACAGGACGGGUCCAUCCAUCGCAUAAGAGCAAAGAAUACUAUUGUUGCCACAGGGCUACGGGCGCACCUACUUGAGCUGCACGUCUGCCCACACCAGCACCAGCGACGGCACGGCCAUGAUCACCAGGGCAGGCCUUCCUUGCCAGGACCUCGAGUUUGUUCAGUUCCACCCCACAGGCACAUAUGGUGCUGGUUGUCUCAUUACGGAAGGAUGUCGUGGAGAGGGAGGCAUUCUCAUUAACAGUCAAGGCGAAAGGUUUAUGGAGCGAUACGCCCCCAUCGCGAAGGACCUGGCGUCUAGAGAUGUGGUGUCUCGGUGGAUGACUCUGGAGAUCCGCGAAGGAAGAGGCUGUGGCCCUGAGAAAGAUCACGUCUACCUGCAGCUGCACCACCUACCUCCAGAGCAGCUGGCCAUGCCCUUGCCCGGCAUUUCAGAGACAGCCAUGAUCUUCGCUGGUGUGGACGUCACGAAGGAGCCGAUCCCUGUCCUCCCCACCGUGCAUUAUAACAUGGACGGCAUUCCCACCAGCUACGAGGGGCAGGUCCUGAGGCACGGGAAUGGCCAGGAUCAGAUUGUGCCCAGCCUGUACGCCUGUGGGGAGGCCGCCUGUGCCUCUGCACAUGGUGUCAACCGCCUCGGGGCAAACUCGCUGUUGGACCUGGUUGUCUGGUCAGGCAUGUGCCCUGAGCAUCGCAGAGUCGUGCAGGCCUGGAGAUAAAGUCCCUCCAAUUAAACCAAAUGCUGGGGAAGAAUCUGUCACGAAUCUUGACAAAUUGAGAUUUGCUGAUGGAAGAAGCAUAAGAACAUCGGAACUGCGACUCAGCAUGCAGAAGUCAACGCAAAAUCAUGCUGCCGUGUUCCGUGUGGGAAGCUUGUUGCAAGAAGGUUGUGGGAAAAUCAGCAAGCUCUAUGGAGACCUGAAGCAUCUGAAGACGUUUGACCGGGGAAUGGUCUGGAACACGGACCUGGUGGAGACCCUGGAGCUGCAGAACCUGAUGCUAUGUGCGCUGCAGACCGUCAAUGGAGCAGAGGCGGGGAAGGAGUCACGGGGCGCGCACGCCGGGGAAGACUACAAGGUGCAGAUUGAUGAGUAUGAUCACUCCAAGCCCAUCCAGGGGCAACAGAAGAAGCCCUUUGAGGUGCACUGGAGGAAGCACACCCUGUCCUAUGUGGACGUCGGCACUGGGAAGUGCACAGCCAGAGGACAACACAUCACACACAAGAAACAGUUGUGCUCAUGUGAUGGGGGCCUCAGCACUAGGAAGGAGUGGACUGUUGGCGCACGCAGCAGCUUGAAUAAAUCUGAAAGUCACUACGCUGCGUAAGAGAAGCCAAAUAAAGCGCAUGCUGUGUACAGAGGGUGUCGAGAAUGCCUCCUACGUGACGGAAAGCAGAUCCGUGGUUCCCUGCAGACUGGCAGGAGCAGAUUCCAAAGGCACAGGAAGAAGCUUGCAGGUAGAAUGUGUUCAUUACCUUCUGCGCAUUAUACCACAAAAAAGCUGGGAAUAAAAAUGCUAACCAAAAAAAAA